This 885-nucleotide ribosomal RNA is filed under the name Russula omiensis. RNAcentral's name for it is "eukaryotic LSU rRNA". It matches the Rfam family "Eukaryotic large subunit ribosomal RNA", at positions 82 to 943 of the family's 3401-position model. Lineage: Eukaryota; Fungi; Basidiomycota; Agaricomycetes; Russulales; Russulaceae. The record is from RNAcentral.
AGUAACUGCGAGUGAAGCGGGAAAAGCUCAAAUUUAAAAUCUGGUGGCCUCUGGUCAUCCGAGUUGUAAUUUAGAGAAGCGUCUUCCGCGCUGGACCGUGCACAAGUCUCCUGGAAUGGAGCGUCGUAGAGGGUGAGAAUCCCGUCUUUGGCACGGAUCCCGGGGCUUUUGUGAUGCGCUCUCGAAGAGUCGAGUUGUUUGGGAAUGCAGCUCAAAAUGGGUGGUGAACUCCAUCUAAAGCUAAAUAUUGGCGAGAGACCGAUAGCGAACAAGUACCGUGAGGGAAAGAUGAAAAGCACUUUGGAAAGAGAGUGAAACAGUACGUGAAAUUGUUGAAAGGGAAACGCUUGAAGUCAGUCGCGUCGUCCGAGACUCAGCCUCGCCUCGGCUUGGUGUACUUCUCGCUCGACGGGUCAGCAUCAAUUUUGCCCCUUGGAUAAUGGCAAGGGAAACGUGGCACCUUUGCGGGUGCGUUAUAGUCCCUCGUCGCAUGCAAGGGUCGGGAUUGAGGAACUCANCACGCGCCUCUCGGCGUCGGGGCAAUUUUGCCCACGAUACGUGCUUAGGAUGUUGGCGUAAUGGCUUUAAACGACCCGUCUUGAAACACGGACCAAGGAGUCUAACAUGCCCGCGAGUGUUCGGGUGGAAAACCCGUGCGCGCAAUGAAAGUGAAAGUUGGGACCUCUGUCGUGGAGGGCACCGACGCCCGGACCAGACCUUCUGUGACGGAUCUGCGGUGGAGCGUGUAUGUUAGGACCCGAAAGAUGGUGAACUAUGCCUGAAUAGGGUGAAGCCAGAGGAAACUCUGGUGGAGGCUCGUAGCGAUUCUGACGUGCAAAUCGAUCGUCAAAUUUGGGUAUAGGGGCGAAAGACUAAUCGAACCAU